GGGGAAUCUUCCGCAAUGGACGAAAGUCUGACGGAGCAACGCCGCGUGAGUGAUGACGGCCUUCGGGUUGUAAAGCUCUGUUAAUCGGGACGAAAGGCCUUCUUGCGAAUAGUUAGAAGGAUUGACGGUACCGGAAUAGAAAGCCACGGCUAACUACGUGCCAGCAGCCGCGGUAAUACGUAGGUGGCAAGCGUUGUCCGGAAUUAUUGGGCGUAAAGCGCGCGCAGGCGGAUUGGUCAGUCUGUCUUAAAAGUUCGGGGCUUAACCCCGUGAUGGGAUGGAAACUGCCAAUCUAGAGUAUCGGAGAGGAAAGUGGAAUUCCUAGUGUAGCGGUGAAAUGCGUAGAUAUUAGGAAGAACACCUGUGGCGAAGGCGACUUUCUGGACGAAAACUGACGCUGAGGCGCGAAAGCCAGGGGAGCGAACGGGAUUAGAUACCCCGGUAGUCCUGGCCGUAAACGAUGGGUACUAGGUGUAGGAGGUAUCGACCCCUUCUGUGCCGGAGUUAACGCAAUAAGUACCCCGCCUGGGGAGUACGACCGCAAGGUUG
RNAcentral lists this ribosomal RNA (549 nucleotides) under uncultured bacterium. RNAcentral's name for it is "bacterial SSU rRNA". It matches the Rfam family "Bacterial small subunit ribosomal RNA", at positions 356 to 896 of the family's 1533-position model. The record is from RNAcentral.